GGAGUUGACUGGAUAGUCGCUGCUUCGUUGAUGUCCUACGGUUAAUCCUGUGGAGACUGACGGAGGGGAGGAAAGUCCGGGCUCCAUAGAGCAGGGUGCCAGGUAACGCCUGGGGGGUGCAAGCCCACGACAAGUGCAGCAGAGAGAAAACCGCCGAUGGCUUCUUUUUUCGUUAGAGAAGAGACAGCACAGGUAAGGGUGAAAGGGUGCGGUAAGAGCGCACCGUGCGGCUGGCAACAGUUCGUAGCAAGGUAAACUCCACCCGGAGCAAGACCAAAUAGGCUUCCAUAUGGCGCUGCUCGCGUUUGGAAGCGGGUAGGUUGCUGGAGCCAGUGAGCGAUUGCUGGCCUAGAGGAAUGGCUAUCACCGCGAAAGCGGCACAGAACCCGGCUUAUAAGUCGACUCCCCAA
Molecule: RNase P RNA, 410 nt
Filed under: Vibrio sp. 99-8-1
Lineage: Bacteria; Pseudomonadati; Pseudomonadota; Gammaproteobacteria; Vibrionales; Vibrionaceae
Description: Bacterial RNase P class A
Rfam family: Bacterial RNase P class A
About the family: Ribonuclease P (RNase P) is a ubiquitous endoribonuclease, found in archaea, bacteria and eukarya as well as chloroplasts and mitochondria. Its best characterised activity is the generation of mature 5'-ends of tRNAs by cleaving the 5'-leader elements of precursor-tRNAs. Cellular RNase Ps are ribonucleoproteins.
Source: Rfam by way of RNAcentral